UCGUUCGUAUACUCCUCUCCACGCGAGUAGCAGCGACGCGACGUGACCAGACGGUGGGAAACAUACGAGUUAAAUAGGUCGUUGUGCGCGCCGAAACACCGGGAACACGUUUACGGUCGAGUAAACGCCGUUCCCCACCUCUCCCCGAACAAAAAACAGAACUACUCGAAAAGUGUGCGACCUUUUCGUUUGUUGUAAUAAAAUAAACAUCAGGCGAGAACAGCGUGCGAAAAGUCUCGUUGUGACAGAUAGACGUUUAGAACAAAAUGUUUAGAAGAAAAUGAUACAACGUGAUACACGCGCGUAAAAAACAAAAGUCUGUGAGUCCUCCAAGAGACGAAAUAAAAACAAAAGAAGACGAGAAAGAAAAGAAAAAUUGACGGGGAGAAGAGAUCAUUUUCGAAAAAAAAAAAAAAAAAUGUUACGUUUUCUCGCUCGACGAGAAAACGGAUUAAUGUGGAGGAAUUAAAAACGGUACCGCCUAGAACUGACUGAUCGAUGUGGACUAGGUCAAGUGCUUAAUUAACAGCGGGAGCAAAUUGGAGCGGUUGUAAGAAAUGGGGAAACAUUACGGAAAAUUUGCUUAACGAGAUUCAAUUUGACAGGUGAACAUUCGAUUUCGUUGUCGUUCGAAAUCGUUCGACGAGAUAUCGCUCUUGGGCGCGAAAAACGAUCGAUCGAAAAACUCGUUCUAAAAUUAUUCGCCAACAGAAGAAGUUUCGUCGUUCGCCAGAGAAAACGCGCGCGCGAGCAGAGAACAAGAAGAAAGAAAGAGAGAGAUAGACACACUUGUUCGCGUCGGAAGGAGGAGAGCGCGAGAGGGGGUGCAGCAGGUGCAGCAGGAGCGCAGCUUCUGUCAUCGAUCUCACCACCAGCGCGGUUGCAGCGAGCAUGGCGCGGCACACGCCGGACCACGUCCUUCGAAAACGAUCCGACGACGCGACGUCGGGGCGCGUGACGAUUGACAACGAACGGACGCGUUGAUUCGACGUUGUGCCGAUCUGAUGAUUCGUUAACCGAAUCUCCUGGGAACACAAUGACGAGGGUGACGAGAAGCGAACCGAUGUCGACUGCACCGGCGUUAAAAUCGCUGGAUCUUUCCGACGGAAUGCGGGAGAACACCGACCGGACACAUCCUCCGAAGAGUCACGCGGUUCUUCCCGUGUAAAAAGCGCCCGUUGAUCUCCUCACAAUCGGAACAAGGAGAGAGAGAGGACAGGACACUGCAGGGUGCACUGCGCGGUCGCGCACGUCGGCCGCGCGCGCAAGAGAGAGAGAACGAGAGAGCGGUGUUUACAUUCACGAGAGGCGCGAGAGACCCGCGAAAUCGAGAUAUCGAUCGGCCGGAGAGACGCGGAUUCAGCGUCAAGAUAUUUGCGCCCUUGUUUGUUUCUCGCGCGCAUCAUCGUCGAAUGCGUCGAAAAAGAGAGAAAGAGAGAGAGAAAGAAAGAGGCGCGAGACGCGGAUCUCCGGAGAGAUCUCCAAUCGUGUCAGCUGGCGACGCGAAACGUGAGAUCUCUCGCACGCCGUCCGCAUGUGCGAGUGUUUAUGUUUGCGCGAUGUGCAUCCGCGUGAGUACACGCGCGCGCGCGGCAUUUUAGAAAACUUAAGAAAAAUUACACGCAUAACACACACAAUUAUGUGUAUGUGUAUGCGCGCGUGAGUUAAUAUCAGAACGAGACUGAUAUUAAAUGAGAAUUGGAUAUAAUAUAGCGCAUCUCUCUUUAUCAUGAGAGGUAUUAAUAGCGAAUUUGGAGAACGUCCAGAGAAAACAAGCGAUUUAAGAGACAGAUUGUUGCGUACGUGUUCACCGAUCGUAGCCGAUCCAAGUUCCGUUUUGCGUGUUGUUUACACGACGUAAUCCGGACCGGAGGUAUAGAUAUUUGGAUCACGCGCGCGAUGUCUGCGCGCAACAACAGAGAUCUAUCUAGGAAGUAGCCUAGAGCGUCAGCUCCUCCUCCUCCUCCUCCGUUUUGUUCGAAGGAUCUAAGAUCGAUACGUGAGGGAAUCGUACAGCGUCGCGCACGAAGAUGGACUGCUGCAAUUACAUCGAAGCUUACGCGCCAGGUGGACACUUCGGCUAUCAGCAGCAACAGCAGCAGCAGCAGCAGCAGUACUUUUGCUACGACAACAGCACCACGCCGUACACCGGCUACGACGCCGCGCCGAACUCCAACGCGAUUGAUAUUAACGCUCGUUAUAACGGGACGAUACCAUCGACGUAUCCGACAGAUUACGUGUACAACCCGAAAGAGGCGAGGCUGCGAAAGGCGAUGCGCGAGCAGACUCGCGAACUGGCGCGUCGAUCGAUCUUGCAAAGCGCGAUCGCGAACACGAGUCCGCGCACGAUCGGCGGCGCAUCCGCUGUUUCCGCAUCGGUAGUCGGGAGCUUCCUCAACCAGCAGCAGCCGCCGCACCGUUUCGAUUGCACGUCCGUGCCGCCGAUGGGUCCGAAUGUGAGCCCUCAUCACGCGACCGACCCCUGGUUUCAGACCGCGCAUCGCCUGAAAUCGGUUCACUCGUCGCCGCGUAUCGGCGACUGGUACGGGAGCAUGUGCAGCGACCAUCCGAUCGAGAGGUUGCGAGCGAUGGGCGCGAUGCAGCAUCACCAACAGCAACAGCAGCAGCAGCAGCAGCAGCAACAGCAACACGAUCUCGAGAAACCCAUCAAGGACCACCCCGCGCUUUAUUCCAACGGUUAUUCGUCCGCCGAGAGGGAAAUCCGUCGUCAGGAAUCCGCGGAAUACAGCGACUUCAUCGACGGAGGCCAGAAGUGGCAUCCUUAUCAAAGUAGCGCGAGCCCCCAUCCGAGAGCACCCCAUAUGUCAUCGCAAAUGGGCGGCAUUCUUCACCCGAGUGUUCAGAAUACAAACGCGCAUGGACACGAUCCGUGGGGCCAAUUUUGUCACGGCAUGUUACCACACGUUCCGACUGUAGCUCGCAACUCGAUGAUGAUUCGGGGCCCGAGGCACGCGGUUUUCUUGCGGGAUCGCACGCCAACCAGACACUGCGCGUUUUCGGAGGAUGCGUCGCAAAUGGGUUACGUUGCGAGCAAACUGAACGUUGACAGUAUUCGCGCGUCUUAUCCGCCCGAGCAUCAGAUGCCGAGAUUGCUGUCGGAAUCAUCUGUGGAUUCCGUCGUAGACACGACGACGACGACGACUACGACGACAACAACGACGACAACGAUGAAUCGUCGCGAUGAAGAUGACGGGACCAGAUGGGAACCGAACCACGUCACCGCUGGGAUGCCUCUGGACGAACUCGUGCCAACUGCCUCGGAAGGUACGAUUUCCCGCGAGAAGGAACGCGAGAACCGGCACUCGAGCGAGCGAUUUGAGCCGAGGAAAAAACCCGUUUCGAAGCAGCCGCUUCCGGGUUUCCAUCAAGCCUUUGGCUCCACGGAGAUCGGUAGAUUCUCCAGGUCGGAGUUCUUCGUCAACAUGGUGGGUGAGAGCGGCGACGGCGGCGGCGAUGCGAACGACGCUUCCGACGGUGGCGAUCGUAACGACGUUACCGGCGACUUGAUCCCGGAAGCCUACCUGACGAAUCCCUUGCUGUUUCCCUUCCCGCUGGAUCCCCACAGCAUUCUGGAAAGCAAUGCCGUUUGCGGAAUCGCGAGAGAUGGACGAUUGAUAUCGCCGCGCGUUUUGCCCAACCAGUGCUGCUGGUUCGCGCAAUUCGGCCGCGCGAUAACCAGGAUUCCCGAUGAUCUUGUGACUUGCGCAGCCUUGUUGGACUGUUCCAAUCACUCGAGCGAUAAAGAAUGGAUCCGACAGAGCGCGACGAUUGCGUGCCCGAUUGAAUUUCUAACGCUGCUUGGUGAUCGAAACGCAAUCUGCGAGGGAACGAUCGGCAAUCGCGCAAAUCCGAUCGUUGUCGUGAAUGAAACGACUCGCGGUCGUGACAUUUCGCGAGAACACGAGAACGAGGUUGUCGAUUUCAAGAUCGAUCGGAAGAGUGACUCGAAUUUGCAAGAGUUCAACGACAAGAAGAACUGAUGAUUGGACAGACACUGUGUGUGGUAAAUUAAUAUCCUCGUCAAUAGUUUGAGAUCACAGCUAGUUUCUUUUCAAGAUGUUUUUUUUUAUUUUCUGCCAGUGUUUACAACUUGAAAGCGACUCGGAAUGGAAGAGAAAGUCUCAAAAACUCACAUUUUUGGAAGCUACAUUAUCUUACGAUAUCUUUUUCUACGAUUAUCUUACGAUUUCUUUUAUGUUUUCGAUAAAAAUGCAACUUAUGACGUUCGACGCGUAUAAACUUCUCGACGCUCUCCGAGAGUCUCCGACGAACAGAACAGUUCGUAAAUAUUGUAAACGCGAACAAAAAUAUCUUCAUCUUAUCUAUUUCCUUCUAAGAGCG
This is an RNA transcript of Pseudomyrmex gracilis, 4362 nucleotides long. RefSeq lists it as uncharacterized. The record is from RefSeq and is a predicted model, not a curated record. The transcript has 9 exons. Lineage: Eukaryota; Metazoa; Arthropoda; Insecta; Hymenoptera; Formicidae.